This 253-nucleotide ribosomal RNA is filed under the name uncultured prokaryote. RNAcentral describes it as "partial 16S ribosomal RNA". It matches the Rfam family "Bacterial small subunit ribosomal RNA", at positions 524 to 776 of the family's 1533-position model. The record is from RNAcentral.
UACGUAGGGUGCGAGCGUUAAUCGGAAUUACUGGGCGUAAAGUGUGCGCAGGUGGCUUCGCAAGUCGAGUGUGAAAUCCCCGGGCUUAACCUGGGAAUUGCGCUCGAAACUACGGAGCUGGAGUGUGGCAGAGGGGGGUGGAAUUCCACGUGUAGCGGUGAAAUGCGUAGAGAUGUGGAGGAACACCAAUGGCGAAGGCAGCCCCCUGGGCCAACACUGACACUCAUGCACGAAAGCGUGGGGAGCAAACAGG